Molecule: ribosomal RNA, 461 nt
Filed under: uncultured bacterium
Lineage: Bacteria
Description: bacterial SSU rRNA
Rfam family: Bacterial small subunit ribosomal RNA
Source: RNAcentral
UCCUACGGGUGGCAGCAGUGAGGAAUAUUGGGCAAUGGACGCAAGUCUGACCCAGCCAUGCCGCGUGAAGGAUGAAGGCGUUCUGCGUUGUAAACUUCUUUUAUCUGGGAAGAAACCUCCGAUUUCUAUUGGAGCCGACGGUACCAGAGGAAUAAGCACCGGCUAACUCCGUGCCAGCAGCCGCGGUAAUACGGAGGGUGCAAGCGUUAUCCGGAUUCACUGGGUUUAAAGGGUGUGUAGGCGGGCUAUUAAGUCAGUGGUGAAAUCUCCGAGCUUAACUUGGAAACUGCCAUUGAUACUAUUAGUCUUGAAUUCUGUUGAGGUGGGCGGAAUACAUCAUGUAGCGGUGAAAUGCUUAGAUAUGAUGUAGAACACCGAUUGCGAAGGCAGCUCACUAAACAGAGAUUGACGCUGAGGCACGAAAGCGUGGGGAUCAAACAGGAUUAGAUACCCUAGUAGUC